CUACGGGCGGCACCAGUGGGGAAUAUUGCACAAUGGGGGAAACCCUGAUGCAGCAACGCCGCGUGAGUGAAGAAGGCUUUCGAGUCGUAAAGCUCUGUCCUAUGGGAAGAAUAGAUGACGGUACCAUAGGAGGAAGCCCCGGCUAACUACGUGCCAGCAGCCGCGGUAAUACGUAGGGGGCAAGCGUUAUCCGGAAUCAUUGGGCGUAAAGGGUGCGUAGGCGGCCAGACAAGUCAGAGGGGAAAGGCUACGGCUUAACCGUAGUAAGCCUUUGAAACUGUUUGGCUUGAGUGCAGGAGAGGAAAGUGGAAUUCCUAGUGUAGCGGUGAAAUGCGUAGAUAUUAGGAGGAACACCAGUGGCGAAGGCGACUUUCUGGACUGUAACUGACGCUGAGGCACGAAAGCGUGGGGAGCGAACAGGAUUAGAUACCCGGGUAGUC
RNAcentral lists this ribosomal RNA (440 nucleotides) under uncultured bacterium. Its description in RNAcentral is "partial 16S ribosomal RNA". It matches the Rfam family "Bacterial small subunit ribosomal RNA", at positions 339 to 795 of the family's 1533-position model. The record is from RNAcentral.